RNAcentral lists this small nucleolar RNA (55 nucleotides) under Archaeoglobus veneficus SNP6. RNAcentral describes it as "Small nucleolar RNA sR3". It matches the Rfam family "Small nucleolar RNA sR3". Lineage: Archaea; Methanobacteriati; Methanobacteriota; Archaeoglobi; Archaeoglobales; Archaeoglobaceae. The record is from Rfam by way of RNAcentral.
GGUGAUGAUGACAAACGGGUCUGCUGAUGCGUGAUGACCCGUUGGAGCGCUGACC